UACGGAGGGUGCAAGCGUUAAUCGGAAUUACUGGGCGUAAAGCGCACGCAGGCGGUUGGAUAAGUUAGAUGUGAAAGCCCCGGGCUCAACCUGGGAAUUGCAUUUAAAACUGUCCAGCUAGAGUCUUGUAGAGGGGGGUAGAAUUCCAGGUGUAGCGGUGAAAUGCGUAGAGAUCUGGAGGAAUACCGGUGGCGAAGGCGGCCCCCUGGACAAAGACUGACGCUCAGGUGAGAAAGCGUGGGGAGCAAACAGG
Molecule: ribosomal RNA, 253 nt
Filed under: uncultured bacterium
Lineage: Bacteria
Description: partial 16S ribosomal RNA
Rfam family: Bacterial small subunit ribosomal RNA
Source: RNAcentral